AUACGAAGGGUGCAAGCGUUACUCGGAAUUACUGGGCGUAAAGCGUGCGUAGGUGGUUGUUUAAGUCUGUCGUGAAAGCCCUGGGCUCAACCUGGGAAUGGCGAUGGAAACUGGGCGACUAGAGUGUGGCAGAGGGUAGUGGAAUUCCUGGUGUAGCAGUGAAAUGCGUAGAGAUCAGGAGGAACAUCCGUGGCGAAGGCGACUGCCUGGGCCAACACUGACACUGAGGCACGAAAGCGUGGGGAGCAAACAGAAUUAGAUACCCUGGUAGUCCACGCCCUAAACGAUGCGAACUGGAUGUUGGGUGCAAUUUGGCACGCAGUAUCGAAGCUAACGCGUUAAGUUCGCCGCCUGGGGAGUACGGUCGCAAGACUGAAACUCAAAUGAAUUGACGGGG
This 397-nucleotide ribosomal RNA is filed under the name uncultured bacterium. RNAcentral describes it as "partial 16S ribosomal RNA". It matches the Rfam family "Bacterial small subunit ribosomal RNA", at positions 523 to 918 of the family's 1533-position model. The record is from RNAcentral.